RNAcentral lists this ribosomal RNA (303 nucleotides) under uncultured bacterium. Its description in RNAcentral is "partial 16S ribosomal RNA". It matches the Rfam family "Bacterial small subunit ribosomal RNA", at positions 507 to 808 of the family's 1533-position model. The record is from RNAcentral.
AGCAGUCGCCGCGGUAAUACGUAGGUCCCGAGCGUUGUCCGGAUUUAUUGGGCGUAAAGCGAGCGCAGGCGGUUAGAUAAGUCUGAAGUUAAAGGCUGUGGCUUAACCAUAGUACGCUUUGGAAACUGUUUAACCUGAGUGCAGAAGGGGAGAGUGAAAUUCCAUGUGUAGCGGUGAAAUGCGUAGAUAUAUGGAGGAACACCGGUGGCGAAAGCGGCUCUCUGGUCUGUAACUGACGCUGAGGCUCGAAAGCGUGGGGAGCGAACAGGAUUAGAUACCCGGGUAGUCCCUGUCUCUUAUACA